RNAcentral lists this ribosomal RNA (458 nucleotides) under uncultured bacterium. RNAcentral's name for it is "partial 16S ribosomal RNA". It matches the Rfam family "Bacterial small subunit ribosomal RNA", at positions 338 to 795 of the family's 1533-position model. The record is from RNAcentral.
CCUACGGGAGGCAGCAGUGAGGAAUAUUGGUCAAUGGCCGAGAGCCUGAACCAGCCAAGUCGCGUGAGGGAGUACUGCCCUAUGGGUUGUAAACCUCUUUUGUCGGGGAGCAAAAGCCGGACGUGUCCGGCUGUGAGAGUACCCGAAGAAAAAACAUCGGCUAACUCCGUGCCAGCAGCCGCGGUAAUACGGAGAAUGCGAGCGUUAUCCGGAUUUAUUGGGGUUAAAGGGUGCGCAGGCGGAUUUUUAAGUCAGCGGUCAAAUCGUGGGGUUCAACCCCAUCCAGCCGUUGAAACUGGGGAUCUAGAGUGUGCGAGAAGUAUGCGGAAUGCGUGGUGUAGCGGUGAAAUGCAUAGAUAUCACGCAGAACCCCGAUUGCGAAGGCAGCAUACCGGUGCACAACUGACGCUCAGGCACGAAAGCGUGGGUAUCGAACAGGAUUAGAUACCCGAGUAGUC